This 200-nucleotide non-coding RNA is filed under the name Oscillospiraceae bacterium. Its description in RNAcentral is "6S RNA". It matches the Rfam family "6S / SsrS RNA". From Rfam's summary of the family: E. coli 6S RNA was the first non coding RNA to be sequenced, but its function was unknown until recently. It consists of 184 nucleotides that fold into an extended hairpin structure with a large single-stranded internal bulge. The 6S RNA specifically associates with RNA polymerase holoenzyme containing the sigma70 specificity factor. The record is from RNAcentral. Lineage: Bacteria; Bacillati; Bacillota; Clostridia; Eubacteriales; Oscillospiraceae.
CAUCCCCUGCUUUGUUCGUGAUGGGCCUUUUUAAACCCACAUUUAUAAUAAGGGACUCCAGACUCUCCCGGUGAAUUGCAGGCCUCCCGGGCCGCGCUCGACGCGGUUUGGAAGUUGGAAGCAGCGAAAUCGGGAGGAGGGGACCCACCUGCCAUAAGGUGCAGGUUAUAAAUGGGCCUACACGGCACGGCGGGGGUUUU